Molecule: ribosomal RNA, 253 nt
Filed under: uncultured bacterium
Lineage: Bacteria
Description: partial 16S ribosomal RNA
Rfam family: Bacterial small subunit ribosomal RNA
Source: RNAcentral
UACAGAGGUCUCGAGCGUUAGGCGGAAUCACUGGGCUUAAAGCGUGUGUAGGCGGAUCGGUAAGUACCUUGUGAAAUCCCACAGCUUAACUGUGGAACUGCUUGGUAUACUGCCAGUCUUGAGCCAGCUAGGGGCUACCGGAACAAAUGGUGGAGCGGUGAAAUGCGUAGAUAUCAGGAGGAACACCAAUUGCGAAGGCAGCUCGCUGGGACGUUACUGACGCUGAGACGCGAAAGCGUGGGGAGCAAACAGG